RNAcentral lists this ribosomal RNA (253 nucleotides) under uncultured bacterium. Its description in RNAcentral is "partial 16S ribosomal RNA". It matches the Rfam family "Bacterial small subunit ribosomal RNA", at positions 524 to 776 of the family's 1533-position model. The record is from RNAcentral.
UACGAAGGGGGCUAGCGUUGUUCGGAAUUACUGGGCGUAAAGCGUGCGCAGGCGGCUUCUCAAGUCAGGGGUGAAAGCCCAGAGCUCAACUCUGGAAUUGCCUUUGAGACUGAGUGGCUUGAGUACGGGAGAGGUGAGUGGAAUUCCUGGUGUAGCGGUGAAAUGCGCAGAUAUCAGGAGGAACACCGGUGGCGAAGGCGGGUCUCUGGGCCGAUGCUGACGCUGAGGCGCGACAGCGUGGGGAGCAAACAGG